GAUGAACGCUGGCGGCGUGCUUAACACAUGCAAGUCGAACGAAGCAUUUAGGACAGAUUACUUCGGUUUGAAGUUCUUUAUGACUGAGUGGCGGACGGGUGAGUAACGCGUGGGUAACCUGCCUUGUACUGGGGGAUAGCAUCUGGAAACGGCUGGUAAUACCGCAUAAGCGCACAAUGUUGCAUGACAUGGUGUGAAAAACUCCGGUGGUAUAAGAUGGACCCGCGUCUGAUUAGCUAGUUGGUGAGAUAACAGCCCACCAAGGCGACGAUCAGUAGCCGACCUGAGAGGGUGACCGGCCACAUUGGGACUGAGACACGGCCCAGACUCCUACGGGAGGCAGCAGUGGGGAAUAUUGCACAAUGGAGGAAACUCUGAUGCAGCGACGCCGCGUGAGUGAAGAAGUAAUUCGUUAUGUAAAGCUCUAUCAGCAGGGAAGAUAGUGACGGUACCUGACUAAGAAGCUCCGGCUAAAUACGUG
Molecule: ribosomal RNA, 481 nt
Filed under: uncultured bacterium
Lineage: Bacteria
Description: partial 16S ribosomal RNA
Rfam family: Bacterial small subunit ribosomal RNA
Source: RNAcentral